RNAcentral lists this transfer RNA (68 nucleotides) under Marmota monax (woodchuck). RNAcentral describes it as "tRNA.Ala". The record is from RNAcentral. Lineage: Eukaryota; Metazoa; Chordata; Mammalia; Rodentia; Sciuridae.
GGACUGUAGCUCAGUGGUAGAGUGCCUGCCUUGCACGUGUGGGGAACUGGGUUUGAUCCUCAGCACCA